GUCCGCCCGCCGCCGGAUUUGUGAUAGGCCACGUCUUCAACCACCGCGACGUGAUGGGGUGCCGGAUCAGGGUGGUUUCGGGGGUCAAGAAGCCAUUGGCCUCGCCGGAAAAUUGCUCUUCCCUCCUCCCGGAUGCCUGGGGCGCUGCUACGCCAGGCGCCGGAUCCCUCGGCCACCGCUGCGCCAGGGGACGGAUCCGUGCUCUCUCCCCCGCCGCUGCCAAACUCCUCCCACCGGCCGCGACUACAUGCGCGGGCGUCAGGAAGGUUCAUACCACGGACAUGGCUCCGGUGCAGUGCGCCUCUGCUCUUCAAAGUUGUGGAGACGCGCAUGACAGCUCUGUCUCCCUUUUGCAGUGCACACAGCUCCUUUAUCCUCCCCCUCUCCCCUUCCCCGACGUCCCACCGGCGACACCCGUCGGUAAGCCGGCCCUUGGCGCUCCAUCUUCAGCGGCUGUCUUCGACGCGGCCGCUCUAUGAUGCCGGCGAACUGAUUCUUUGCUGCCACUAUAGUUCACUGUUCAGUUUUCUUGUUUUCCUCUGUCGCCUUCGAACAGUCAAAGACUCAAAAAAGAGAAGACGACCAGCAAAAACAAUGGAGUUGGCUGUGAUGGGGACGACGGCUCAUCCCGGCACGGUUCUGCUUGGCACGCGAUGGGUUCAGGUGUGAAGAUGCGAUGGCUGUGUAAAGAAAAAAUGAGUGUGUGUGAAAGAAAUAUGGUUGUGUUGUUUUUCAGGCACGUGGACGAGAUUUUGUUUACAAAAGCAGUUCAUCU
This is an RNA transcript of Triticum dicoccoides, 775 nucleotides long. RefSeq lists it as uncharacterized. The transcript is spliced from 2 exons. NCBI's taxonomy places the organism in Eukaryota, Viridiplantae, Streptophyta, Magnoliopsida, Poales, Poaceae. The record is from RefSeq and is a predicted model, not a curated record.